CGGGUGAGUAACACGUGGGUAACCUGCCCGGAAGUGGGGAAUACCUCGGGGAAACUCGAGCUAAUACCGCAUAACAUCUUUAGAACGAUGGUCCUGACGAUCAAAGCGGGGUCGCAAGAUCUCGCGCUACCGGAUGGGCCCGCGCCUGAUUAGCUAGUUGGUGGGGUAACGGCUCACCAAGGCUUCGAUCAGUAACCGGCCUGAGAGGGCGAUCGGUCACACCGGAACUGAGACACGGUCCGG
This 243-nucleotide ribosomal RNA is filed under the name uncultured bacterium. RNAcentral describes it as "partial 16S ribosomal RNA". It matches the Rfam family "Bacterial small subunit ribosomal RNA", at positions 103 to 334 of the family's 1533-position model. The record is from RNAcentral.